Molecule: ribosomal RNA, 785 nt
Filed under: uncultured bacterium
Lineage: Bacteria
Description: bacterial SSU rRNA
Rfam family: Bacterial small subunit ribosomal RNA
Source: RNAcentral
GGCUCAGGAUGAACGCUGGCGGUAUGCUUAACACAUGCAAGUCGAACGGUCUCUUCGGAGAUAGUGGCGGACGGGUGAGUAACGCGUGAGAAUCUAGCUUCAGGUCGGGGACAACCACUGGAAACGGUGGCUAAUACCGGAUGUGCCGAAAGGUAAAAGGCUUGCUGCCUGAAGAUGAGCUCGCGUCUGAUUAGCUAGUAGGUGUGGUAAGAGCGCACCUAGGCGACGAUCAGUAGCUGGUCUGAGAGGAUGAUCAGCCACACUGGGACUGAGACACGGCCCAGACUCCUACGGGAGGCAGCAGUGGGGAAUUUUCCGCAAUGGGCGAAAGCCUGACGGAGCAAUACCGCGUGAGGGAGGAAGGCUCUUGGGUUGUAAACCUCUUUUCUCAAGGAAGAAAAAAAUGACGGUACUUGAGGAAUCAGCAUCGGCUAACUCCGUGCCAGCAGCCGCGGUAAUACGGAGGAUGCAAGCGUUAUCCGGAAUGAUUGGGCGUAAAGCGUCCGCAGGUGGCUAUGUAAGUCUGCUGUUAAAGAGCAAGGCUCAACCUUGUAAAAGCAGUGGAAACUACAUGGCUAGAGUGCGUUCGGGGCAGAGGGAAUUCCUGGUGUAGCGGUGAAAUGCGUAGAGAUCAGGAAGAACACCGGUGGCGAAAGCGCUCUGCUAGGCCGCAACUGACACUGAGGGACGAAAGCUAGGGGAGCGAAUGGGAUUAGAUACCCCAGUAGUCCUAGCCGUAAACGAUGGAUACUAGGCGUGGCUUGUAUCGACCCGAGCCGUGCCGG